Molecule: long non-coding RNA, 4740 nt
Filed under: Homo sapiens (human)
Lineage: Eukaryota; Metazoa; Chordata; Mammalia; Primates; Hominidae
Description: non-protein coding lnc-ORMDL1-1:1
Source: RNAcentral
AGAUGGAGUCUCACUCGGUCAUGCAGGCUAGAGUGCAGUGGCGUGAUCUUGGCUCACUGCAACCUCCACCUCCUGGGUUCAAGCGAUUCUCCUGCCUCAGCCUCCCAAGUAGCUGGGAUCAUAGGCACCUGCCACAUGCCCGGCUAAUUUUUGUAUUUUGUAGUAGAGACAGUAUUUCGCCGUGUUGGCCAGGCUGGUCUUGAACCCCUGAUCUCAGGUGAUCCACCCACCUCGGCCUCCCAAAGUGCUAGGAUUACAGGCAUGAGCCACCGUGCCUGGCCUGUUUAAUAUCUUUCAUGAAAAAAACCAGUACCUGCCACCAACGCCAUAUAAUUAGAAAAACAGAUUAAGUUGAGAAUAAAACACAUAUACCCCCACCCAUCCCUUGCUUCAAGUAAAUUCACUUCACAUAAAUUUUAAGAUGCCAGGGACCCUGAGCAAGAAAUAUUUCUAGGAAGACUAAAACAGAUGACUGCAAGCCUGCUAAAGGGGGCUAAUGGAUGGUAAGAAAAGAGAAUAUGUGAGCAUCUCCCAUUGCCAAGUACCAUGCUCACUGAUUUAAUUGUUACUUUGGUUAAUGCUCACCAAUACUUCCUGGAGUAAAUAUCUAAAUUUUGACAGGAAGGCAAUAUAAUAAAUGAGUUAAGAGCUAGGCUUUAAAGGCAGAUUGCCUAGGUUCAAAUUCUGGUUUUACCAAUAACUGUGUCCCCUUGAGCAAACUUAACUUCUGUGCCUCAAUUUUUCCAUCUGUAAAAUGGGGACAGUAAUAGAACCUACUUUACAAGGAUAUUAGGGAGAUUAAAUUAAUACAUUUAAUACUUAGAAUAGUGCCCUGUACAUAAUAAUUAUUCAAUAAUUAUUAGUUGUUUUCAAUGAAGACACAGUGAGGCCAGGUGACUUUCCCCAAAACACAUUGUUUUUAAAUGGCAGUGCUGGGAUUUGGACUAAUAGAAUUGAGGUAGGAGGUAAGAAGCUUAGGUUAGGUAUCCUUAAAAAUCACAAAAAUCAAGUAAAAUUAGUUUAUGUUUGGGACACCAAAGUAUUUUCUGUAUAUACCCAGCUCCAUGCUUUUGUACAUUGUUUUUACUUAUUUUCAUAUCUCAGUAAAGCAUUCCUUUAAAAAUCUUCAAACACUAUUUUGGUCGAGCUCUGUUUUUCUAUACUUUGGGCAUGACAAGUUUAGAGGCAGGAAGGGAGACAGUGGAGUCCUUCCUCAUGGUUCCAAUGUACCUCUCUGAUACCAGAUGAAGAGAAAGUAACAGAAGAUAGGGCAGAAGGCAGUUGAGUAUGGAAACUAUAAAGGAACAGAGAAGGGGCCAGCCAGGAAAACUGAAGUCUCUAGCCAGAUGGAUUUUCUUUUUUCUUUUUAAAUCCACCCAAUGAAUUUCCAUACUGAGCAAAGAGGGUUAUCAGUCUUUUACCAAAGCCAUGGAACCAAAUCAUCCAUUCUCCAUAUAGUACAACUGCUGAUGUUACACGUCUAAUUGGCAAAACAAGCAAAUGUUUUUUGAAAAGCAAAGAUGUCCAUUUUUGUUAGGCAAUUCCAAUAUCCUACAUGUUUGUGUUUUAUCAUUUAAAGGAGUAUUUUAAUAAUUUAAACAAAGCAGGCAGUUUGAAUAUUGUGUCAAAGGAUGACAAAAAUUACAAUAAAACUAUUUGAUUAGUUAUGAAAAUGCAAAUGCAAAGCAUUGGACUGAAAGAGAUGCCAAACUUACUUGUUUCAGGCAGAGGUGAUGUUUUGAAAAAAAUGUUUUAACAUAGCUGACACUGUACUUAUAGUGAGACAAAAAUAUACCACCAUAUCUGUAAAUCAUGAAACCCAAAUGUAACUCUUGGAACAAGACUAAUUUUUCCACAUCAGAAAAUAUUAAACCACACUAUCAUACCUGGUAUCAAUUUUAUCUUGAAACCAUUCGCUGUAAGACGAGGAUCAGACAGGUAAGUUGAUCCACUGUAUCUUUGGUCAUCUGCUGUCAUUUUAUAUAAAACGUCUAAAUAAUGAGAUCCAUUAAAAAGACUGAAAAAGAAAUUAUGGCCCUUUAACUUAUUAAAAACACAAAAUAAGGGGGUUUACGGGAAAAAGUUAAUCCUAGGGCCCUUUGACAAGUGUUAUCAUCAUUAACCAAAAUACAAAGGUAUAAGUAGCCCUAUGAGAAAUCACUGUUUUACAUUUCUGUUAAUAUUUUAUUAAAUACCUACUGCACACAGUAUACAGAAAGAAGAUAAUCUGUCUUCUAGAAUGUUACAAAUUGAAUGUGAAAUUUUAAAAAUGGCUCUCUCUAAUACAAAUGAAAACUUUAUAAAUAAUUCCAUUUUAUUCCUUCAAAACAGACACAAUAAUACACUGUCAAGUUAGGUGGUCCACCCUGCCAAAUUUUCAACUGCUAUUCAAAGUUUCUUCUGUAACAAAAAGAUAAACAUGUAAUCUCUUUCUUCUAGGAACUAAUAAAUUAAUCAAUUUAGAGCUUGGGAGAGCUUCCUUCAGUCUACUGCAGGUCUGGCAUGUUUGCCAAAGGUGGUAUAUGAAAUGAUUCUGAGUGGUGCAAAAACUUGAGGAAGCCAAAGAUCACCUAGGGUACAAAUCAACCACACAUAUUGGUUUUAGGCUUGGUCAGGACGCGUUAUAGUCAUUGCAAAAAGGUGUCUGUCGGGGUUGAUGUGAAUAGUUACCAUCUUGCCACUCCUUCAAUGAAUAUUUGAGUGCCUACCUUGUGGCAGAUAUUGUCCUAGGUAUGUAUGCAAGGCACUGUUCUGUGUUCCAGUACGCUGAUAUCUUUGCUUAUCAGCUCUGAAUGGUUGAAGACCCCAAUGGCUGUGAGAGCUAAUAUUAUAGAGAAGAGAGCUUUGGCUAUAUAUCACAUGUACUCUGUUUCAUCUAACCAAUAUCCUAAAAAUCGAUCUGAGAGACAGUAGGGAUGGUGGUGGUGGUGAUGAUUAUGAUACUGUAUAGCAAUUAAUGGUGCAGGCUCCACAGUUAAACUGUCUAGAUUGUAAUCUUGGACAUACAGCUUAUUUACUGUCCGUGUGAGCCUAGUUAAGUUAUUUAACCAUUACAUUUCAGUUUCCUCAGCUAUAAAAUGUGGAUAUUAUCUACCUCAUAAAGUUGAUGUGAAGAUCAUGAAAAAACUUUGCCAAAUUCCUAUCAUACAGUAAAUGUUCAAUAAAUAUUAGCCAUCAUUAAGGUUAUUGUUAUUGAGCCCUUACUUUAUAGGUACCUAAAUUAUUCCACUUAGAGGUAAGUUACACAAACAGCAUUAGAACUCUGGCAAGAAAACUGAGCCCAACCUACAAUUACCCUGCCCACAUUGUCGCAUUGUGGGAUAAACUAGUCCCUGACUCAGUUUUGAAAAACUUACAUCAUUAACUGUGAUGGGGAUGCCACAUUCCAAAAGAAGGAGGAAAAACUAUUUUGAAUUAAUCUUUAUUCCUGUUUAUGCUCAAUUAAGAAAGAUUUUUUUUUCAGGCCAAUAUGGUCCCACAAUAAUAGUUUUUAAUGUAUUUGUUUUUUGAAGAACAGAACAUCACAUAGAAAAAUAUUUUUAAAAACCUAUCAUUUGAAAAAGCUCAAAAAGAUUUUUGAAAUUUAAAUGAAGUUUACAAAAUGCCAUUCAGAAAAGCAGUCAAGUCUAAAAAUUCAGAUGUACCCUAGCUCUUUUAGGUAAGAAAGAGAAAAGCACCAUCAGAUGUUUAAACUGUUUGAAUGUAGCCUAAGACACUAUUUUCUAAUUGUUCCUCUGACAGUUUCCUAAGCCAAUCUCAAGAGAAUACUAUGAAACAUACUGGAUUUUGGUUAAUGUGGUUGCUGUUUCCUUAUUUAAAAAGACAGACUUAACAGAUGUUUUUCUGUGUUCUGUCCCUGUUUUUUUCUCCUCCAAUGAUGGCAGUGUCUUUAACAAGAGUUUUAACACAUUUUAUAAAUGAUUUCUGCUUUAUUCUUGGAAGUUCUGAAACAGAAUUAUCUAACGAUGUGUCCUAGGGAACAAAUUAUCUUUUUAAACUUCAGGUUUUUAUUAUUUUUGUCAUGAUUCUCUUCUACCUGUGUCUGACUGAAAAAGAAAUAUUAAGUUAAAAAAGGGAAAUGUUAAUAGGUUAGUCAUUAUUUAUUUUUUAAUCUAGUAUGAACUAUUAUAAUAAAUAUUUUUACUCUUAAAAAGUAUUGUAUCAUCAUACCUCUCUGUUAACAUAAUUGGCUUUUCCAGUGGCUCUGCAGGAAGUUUAUGAUUCUCAAGAAGUCUUUUAAAUAGCAGGGCUUCUUCUACUCUAUAUGGAUUUAAUAACAUUACCUCUGUUUUGGAUGUCAUUAGCCAUGCAUCAGGAAACCUGAGAUUGUGGAUCAAGCAAGGUUCAUCCUUCUCUUCUAAGUCAACUUUGUUUUGUUUCUUAAAAUUUAUUUUUAAGUUUUUCAUAGAAAAGGGGAUCUGUACCAUUUUAAUAUUUUGACUCCUUCUUUUUUCAAUUUGGGACUGAAGGAGUUCAUCAAGUUUUGGUUGAUUAGAUAAUGAGGUUUUUAACUUGUGCUUCUGGGCCAAAUUCCAUGCGCUGGUGGGUUUUAUCUUUUUUCUGCCAUCUUUUAGUGACAUUUGUGACUCCUGUUCAAUGGCUCUCUUCAUUUGACUAUUGUAUCGUUCCAAGUCUUUAGUAGCCUUCUCUUCAUAUCUAAGAAUAGAAAUAAAAUAGAACUAAUGAGAUCAUAAUCAGAAAUAUAUUAACCAUCUGAAGUAAAUUUUAUAAAAAUAAAGU